Molecule: transfer RNA, 72 nt
Filed under: Nippostrongylus brasiliensis
Lineage: Eukaryota; Metazoa; Nematoda; Chromadorea; Rhabditida; Heligmosomidae
Rfam family: tRNA
About the family: Transfer RNA (tRNA) molecules are approximately 80 nucleotides in length. Their secondary structure includes four short double-helical elements and three loops (D, anti-codon, and T loops).
Source: Rfam by way of RNAcentral
ACAUCGGUAGCACAGUGGUUAGUGCAGUCUGCCGGAAACAGAAAGAAGCGGGUUCAAUUCCCGUCGGAUAUC